GUUGAACGCUGGCGGUGUGCCUAAUACAUGCCAGUCGAGCGAACAGACGAGGAGCUUGCUCCUCUGACGUUAGCGGCGGACGGGUGAGUAACACGUGGAUAACCUACCUAUAAGACUGGGAUAACUUCGGGAAACCGGAGCUAAUACCGGAUAAUAUAUUGAACCGCAUGGUUCAAUAGUGAAAGACGGUUUUGCUGUCACUUAUAGAUGGAUCCGCGCCGCAUUAGCUAGUUAGUAAGGUAACGGCUUACCAAGGCAACGAUGCGUAGCCGACCUGAGAGGGUGAUCGGCCACACUGGAACUGAGACACGGUCCAGACUCCUACGGGAGGCAGCAGUAGGGAAUCUUCCGCAAUGGGCGAAAGCCUGACGGAGCAACGCCGCGUGAGUGAUGAAGGUCUUCGGAUCGUAAAACUCUGUUAUUAGGGAAGAACAAAUGUGUAAGUAACUAUGCACGUAUUGACGGUACCUAAUCAGAAAGCCACGGCUAACUACGUG
RNAcentral lists this ribosomal RNA (497 nucleotides) under uncultured bacterium. RNAcentral describes it as "partial 16S ribosomal RNA". It matches the Rfam family "Bacterial small subunit ribosomal RNA", at positions 28 to 507 of the family's 1533-position model. The record is from RNAcentral.